RNAcentral lists this unclassified non-coding RNA (1215 nucleotides) under Hevea brasiliensis (rubber tree). The record is from RNAcentral. Lineage: Eukaryota; Viridiplantae; Streptophyta; Magnoliopsida; Malpighiales; Euphorbiaceae.
GUCAUGCCCAUAGUUUGAGGUGUGUAAUGAAAAUUUAGCCAAGUUAAAGGAGCCGCGAAUCGGGCCUUGUAAACACUACAUGCAUGUUACAUACAAACCCGUGAGAGAUGUAAAUGAAUUAACCUAAGAAAGGAAACCAAAAGAAUAAGAUGAUAUAAAUGUCCAAAGGAAUAGUAUCAGUUCCUUAGGCCAACCCCGAAGUGAAACCUCCCGGUCCGCUGGUCAUUGAAGGCAUACUCUAAUCUUAGAGGUCCCAGUGGCGACUCUACGCGAAUACCAACCCCACAUCCAUAUCCACUUCCAGGUUUUAGCCUUGCUCCAGCAGGAUCACCAGGAACACUUGGACCAGAUCCAAGGUCUGUGCCAUAAUCAGCAAAUACAGCCCCUUCUAGUGGCCCCAUCAGAGGGAAGGAAAUUUCUCCACAGCCAACUGCAUAAGACCGGCCAGAGCCAACUGUGCCUUCUUCAUAUCCUCUUACACUAUUGGUUCCACCAAGCACAAAUGCUUCAUGAGGCGGAAAAUUACCGACCACAUGACCACCAGAGAAGCUUAGGAGAAGACGCAUAGGACCUAAUACCAAUCCUUUUCUAGCACGAGCAUUGACUCUGUUAAAAACUAGCCACUCUGACCACACAGGAAGUCCCUGAUCCAUGUUGAAAACAAACACUGAAGAACCAGGGUCGCCAGAACCAGUAUAGACAGUCUCAAGUUUGGCAAGUAGCAUAUCAUCAUGAGUGUUGCCACUUGCAGUAAGUGGACUACUGUAGUAGUCCCUUAUAAUAGGAUUCCCCUUGUCAUCCCGAGCACCAGCCCGCUGAAAUAUGAUUCCGGCUGUCCCAUUCCACUUUGGCCUGAAUGGCCGACUGUAUUCAAUCCCGGCCGUCACACGUCCAAUCGUCAGGCUACCACCGGGGUGAUUAUGAACAAGUGUGCCAGGCGUCCUCGAAUUCUGUAUCAUAAUUGACCUGGAAGUCCUCUUAUCAUCUCCUUCAAUCCAUGGAUCUGUAUAAUUUAUCCGAAAGAUAGAGUCAAUUUGCCCCCGCUCUAGUGACAAAUUCAGCUUUUGAUUUCUCCCGAAAAGAUUCUUGUGGUAUAUCGCACAACUGCCAAUCAAUCCAGCAAGGGGUCCACCUGUGAUCCCACUAGAAAUUCCACCACCGGCAGAAAUACCACCCCCGCUCUUGCGCUCGACAACAUUCAUAACUAAGUCUACC